AUAAUGAUACUUCCGUCCAGUCACAGCCUCAAUCAAUGAGGUCACGCAGUGAGGGCGGCUCGUGAGAACCACAGAGAGGUGAGAGUCCUAUGA
This 93-nucleotide non-coding RNA is filed under the name unclassified sequences. The record is from Rfam.